GCAAAGUAAGAUCUACAAAUAAGUUAAUAUGACCAAAAUUGUCAAUUGACCCCUAAAGGGGUUAUUGUCCUUUAAUGACAAUUUUUCACAAUUUGUUCAUCAUAUUGGCUAACUUUUAAAAAUCUUCUCCUCUGAAACUACUGAAUGGAUUUGGAUGAAACUUAGCAUGAUUGUUCCUUAGAUUAUCCUGCACAAAGUGUGUGCUUAGAUUUUUGAUCCGUCAAAAAACAUGGCCGCCAUUACUUAAAAUAGAACAUAGGGGUCAAAUGCAGUUUUUGGCUUAUAUCUCAAAAACCAAAGCAUUUAGAGCAAAUCUGACAAGGGGUGAAAAUGUUCAUU
This 339-nucleotide long non-coding RNA is filed under the name Mytilus galloprovincialis (Mediterranean mussel). The record is from RNAcentral. Lineage: Eukaryota; Metazoa; Mollusca; Bivalvia; Mytilida; Mytilidae.